Molecule: non-coding RNA, 24 nt
Filed under: Cricetulus griseus (Chinese hamster)
Lineage: Eukaryota; Metazoa; Chordata; Mammalia; Rodentia; Cricetidae
Source: RNAcentral
ACGAUAAACCAAACGUAACCUUGG